CCUCAUUUCAGUGGCAAUGUAAAUUUAGGAGAACGAAAUUAUCAUCUCACAUCUGCCACCAACUGCUAUUAGCUGUAGAAUGUCAUACGCGUCUGUGUGAAGAGACCACCAAACAGGAUUUGUAUGGAGUGCAGAUAUUUUCAUCCAGAAGUUCUUAGAUGAUGUGUUCCAAUCACUUUAUAGAGUGGCUUCUUCUU
This 197-nucleotide long non-coding RNA is filed under the name Pan troglodytes (chimpanzee). RNAcentral's name for it is "lincRNA". Lineage: Eukaryota; Metazoa; Chordata; Mammalia; Primates; Hominidae. The record is from RNAcentral.